UGAGGAAUAUUGGUCAAUGGGCGCAAGCCUGAACCAGCCAUCCCGCGUGAAGGAAGAAGGCGCUAUGCGUUGUAAACUUCCUUUCCAGGGGGAGAAUUUUUCCGUCGUGACGGGAAUUGACGGUACUCUGGGAAUAAGCAUCGGCUAACUCCGUGCCAGCCGCCGCGGUAAUACGGAGGAUGCGAGCGUUAUCCGGAUUUAUUGGGUUUAAAGGGUGCGUAGGCGGAUUGGUAAGUCAGUGGUGAAAGGCUGCAGCUUAACUGUAGACUUGCCGUUGAUACUGUCAGUCGUGAGUAUGGUCAAGGAGGGCGGAAGGUGUAGUGUAGCGGUGAAAUGCUUAGAUAUUACACAGAACACCGAUUGCGAAGGCAGCUGGCUGGGCCAUCACUGACGCUCAUGC
RNAcentral lists this ribosomal RNA (400 nucleotides) under uncultured bacterium. RNAcentral describes it as "bacterial SSU rRNA". It matches the Rfam family "Bacterial small subunit ribosomal RNA", at positions 355 to 752 of the family's 1533-position model. The record is from RNAcentral.